CCUACGGGAGGCAGCAGUGGGGAAUAUUGCACAAUGGGGGAAACCCUGAUGCAGCGACGCCGCGUGAGUGAAGAAGGAUUUCGGAAUGUAAAGCCCUAUUGGUAGGGAAGAAAAUGACGGUAUCUAACGAAUAAGCCCCGGCUAACUACGUGCCAGCAGCCGCGGUAAUACGGAGGGGGCAAGCGUUACUCGGAUUCACUGGGCGUAAAGGGAGCGUAGGCGGGAUAGCAAGUCUGAUGUGAAAGCCCAGGGCGCAACCAGAGAACUGCUUUGGAAACUGUGUUUCUGGAGUAUGGGAGAGGCAGGUGGAAUUCUUGGUGUAGCGGUAAAAUCCGUAGAUAUCAAGAGGAAUACUGACGGCGAAGGCGACCUGCUAGA
This 378-nucleotide ribosomal RNA is filed under the name uncultured bacterium. RNAcentral describes it as "partial 16S ribosomal RNA". It matches the Rfam family "Bacterial small subunit ribosomal RNA", at positions 338 to 733 of the family's 1533-position model. The record is from RNAcentral.